RNAcentral lists this ribosomal RNA (405 nucleotides) under uncultured prokaryote. RNAcentral's name for it is "bacterial SSU rRNA". It matches the Rfam family "Bacterial small subunit ribosomal RNA", at positions 355 to 774 of the family's 1533-position model. The record is from RNAcentral.
UGGGGAAUAUUGGGCAAUGGGCGCAAGCCUGACCCAGCAACGCCGCGUGAAGGAUGAAGGCCUUCGGGUUGUAAACUUCUUUGAUCAGGGACGAAACAAAUGACGGUACCUGAAGAACAAGCCACGGCUAACUACGUGCCAGCAGCCGCGGUAAUACGUAGGUGGCGAGCGUUAUCCGGAUUUACUGGGUGUAAAGGGCGUGUAGGCGGGUCUGCAAGUCGGAUGUGAAAUUCCCGGGCUUAACUCGGGCGGGUCAUCCGAAACUGCGGAUCUUGAGUACUGGAGAGGAUAGUGGAAUUCCUAGUGUAGCGGUAAAAUGCGUAGAUAUUAGGAGGAACACCGGUAGCGAAAGCGACUUCCUGGCUUGGCACUGACACUGAUACACGAAAGCGUGGGGAGCAAACA